This is a non-coding RNA of Arabis alpina (gray rockcress), 119 nucleotides long. The record is from Rfam. NCBI's taxonomy places the organism in Eukaryota, Viridiplantae, Streptophyta, Magnoliopsida, Brassicales, Brassicaceae.
GGGUGCGAUCAUACCAGCACCAAUGCAUUGGAUCCCAUCAAAACUCCAUAGUGAAGCGUGCUUGGGAGAGAGUAGUACUAGGAUGGGUGACCUCCUGGGAAGCCCUCGUGUUGCACCCC